GCUAGUUUACCUGACCGUGAUCGUUCUUUUUGAGUCCAGAAACAAAAAACAUUUCUCAUAUUUCAUUAAGAUCUAGUUUUACGGAUGGAGUCAGUGGACAGGGAGGUUUCAGAUGUGUGAUAACAUCUUUUCUUUCUUCCCCAUUUUUAAAUGUCUUGAUUAAGCUGAGGACUGCCUGUCCUGCCCCGCCCUCCCCCCUAUAAAUUACUGCAAACAGCAUCACCGCCUCCACUUGUACAGCUGAAGACAGCAGAAAGCUUCCUCCACCUGAGCAGCUUGUUGGAGACGAGCAGCUUGUUGGAAACAGCAGUGAAGAUGAAUCUCCUGCCCUGGAUGAUGCUGGUGUUCCUGCUCUCAGCUGGGACCAGUUUGGCUGAUGUGGACGUGAACUGGCUGACUCGUACAGGCCAUCAGGACAGAGUACAGGAUAAACGUACAGUUCUGUCUGGCCGCGAACAUCCCACUGAGCGGAGACCAAAACGCGAUUGGUAACGCCCUACAGUUUGACCGCUACAGUGGAAAUGUUGAAGACAUGAUUAAUGGGGGUGAUGUGGUGUACAAAGGCCACAGUGUGAUCGUAGCCAAAGCAGCAGGUGUUCAACACGCAGAACCUCUAGUUCUGCGAGAGUUGAGCACAUUGAGGAGAAACAGUGAGGGAAACUUCCUGCUCAUCUACUCUUACCUCUCCCCAUGUGGAGACAAGUGUGCAAACCCAGACGAUCGAAAGCACAACAUCCUUAAAUACUUUAGAAACAAUGCCCUUGCACGUUGGAAAAAUAAUUAUGCCUUCGUGUUUACAAGAGUCUUUGAUCAGCCCAACUUUGGUGAUCCUCCUACCAAAGAGGAUUUGAAAAACGCACUGAGACAGCUCGGGAGUUCCGGGCUUGGUCUCAAAAACAUUUUCCGCUGUUUUGGUGAAAAUACAGAAUUAGAGUGCCACAGCUGCUCCUCUCAGGGAAGAGUUUCAAAUGUUUGUAUUAAUAACAACUGGCCUCAAGGCGGAGGAAGCAGCAGCAGCAGCAGAAGUAGCAGCAGAAGCAGCAGCAGCAGCAGAAGUAGCAGCAGAAGUAGCAGCAGAAGCAGCAGCAGAAGUAGCAGCAGAAGUAGCAGCAGAAGCAGCAGCAGCAGCAGAAGUAGCAGCUACAACAGAGGGCAAGGAAAACAUAGAAUCAGCAGCAGCAGCAGCAGCAGCAGCAUUAGCAGAAGAAAGAGACCCAGAUACAGGAGUAAAAGUGAAAGCAGCAGCAGCAGCAGCUACAACAGAGGGCGAAGCAGACGUAGAAGCAGCAGCAGAGGUUAGAGCACUUCAAGGCUCUGCUGGGACUCAGGUGGUUUAUGAGAACCUGAAUCCUGAGACAGGAAGUUUCUGGAUCCUAAAUAGCGCAGCAGCUUCCUGUCACAGCUCAUUAGUUCAUUGCGAAAGCUUCUGCUUUAAACGUCUGCACUCUGCUCAGUGCAAACAAGAUGCUUCUGUUUGUGUCCUUUCAGAGACAUCAGCUGAAGAAACGUGGUCUGGUCCCAGUAUAAGAUACGUGGCAGUGGUUCCCACUGAGAUAAUCCCAUUAAAAUGUUUUUUUUACCAUAACAGAUGUAAAAGCUUUGAUUUCCUGCUACACAUAUAUUAUUUAGUGAAUUAUCUUGUGGCAUGUCACUAUAAUGAACAAUUACAUGUUUAAUAAUGAUCAUAUUUUAUAGUUUAGAUGCCUCCUGUUCUCUGUGAACUCACAACAUUUUUAUUUUCCCAAAAGUCAAAGCAAAGACCCGUUAUUGUGCUGCAUGUUCAUUUUGAAUAAAGCUUGAUUCAGCAUCAAA
Micropterus salmoides (largemouth bass) is the source of this 1812-nucleotide RNA transcript. RefSeq lists it as uncharacterized. Lineage: Eukaryota; Metazoa; Chordata; Actinopteri; Centrarchiformes; Centrarchidae. The transcript has 4 exons. The record is from RefSeq and is a predicted model, not a curated record.